RNAcentral lists this ribosomal RNA (421 nucleotides) under uncultured Gemmatimonadaceae bacterium. RNAcentral describes it as "bacterial SSU rRNA". It matches the Rfam family "Bacterial small subunit ribosomal RNA", at positions 354 to 776 of the family's 1533-position model. The record is from RNAcentral. Lineage: Bacteria; Pseudomonadati; Gemmatimonadota; Gemmatimonadia; Gemmatimonadales; Gemmatimonadaceae.
GUGGGGAAUCUUGCGCAAUGGGCGAAAGCCUGACGCAGCGACGCCGCGUGCGGGAGGACGGCCUUCGGGUCGUAAACCGCUGUUGCCCGGGACGAAUGCCCCUUUCGAGGGGAGUGACGGUACCGGGUGAGGAAGCACCGGCUAACUCCGUGCCAGCAGCCGCGGUAAUACGGAGGGUGCGAGCGUUGUCCGGAAUCACUGGGCGUAAAGGGCGCGUAGGCGGCGCGAUAAGGCGGCGGUGAAAGUCCGGGGCUCAACCCCGGAUCGGCCGUGGCGACUGUCGCGCUGGAGCACAGUAGAGGCGGGUGGAAUUCCGGGUGUAGCGGUGGAAUGCGUAGAGAUCCGGAAGAACACCGGUGGCGAAGGCGGCCCGCUGGGCUGUGGCUGACGCUGAGGCGCGACAGCGUGGGGAGCAAACAGG